Molecule: ribosomal RNA, 544 nt
Filed under: uncultured Glomeromycotina
Lineage: Eukaryota; Fungi; Glomeromycota
Description: SSU rRNA
Rfam family: Eukaryotic small subunit ribosomal RNA
Source: RNAcentral
UUGGAGGGCAAGUCUGGUGCCAGCAGCCGCGGUAAUUCCAGCUCCAAUAGCGUAUAUUAAAGUUGUUGCAGUUAAAAAGCUCGUAGUUGAAUUUCGGGGUUCUACCGUUGGUCGGGCUUUGUCUGUACUGGUGUGUAGAAUUUCUACCUUCUGGGGAACCAUCAUGCUAUUAAUUUAGCGUGGUGGGAAACCAGGACCUUUACCUUGAAAAAAUUAGUGUGUUCAAAGCAGGCUUAUGUCUGAAUACAUUAGCGUGGAAUAAUAGAAUAGGACGGUGGUCCUGUUUUGUUGGUUUCUGAAUCACCGUAAUGAUUAAUAGGGAUAGUUGGGGGCAUUAGUAUUCAAUUGUCAGAGGUGAAAUUCUUGGAUUUAUUGAAGACUAACUUCUGCGAAAGCAUUUGCCAAGGAUGUUUUCAUUAAUCAAGAACGAAAGUUAGGGGAUCGGAGACGAUCAGAUACCGUCGUAGUCUUAACCAUAAACUAUGCCGACUAGGGAUCGGACGAUGUUAAUUUUUCUUGACUCGUUCGGCGCCUUACGGGAAAC